Molecule: ribosomal RNA, 1487 nt
Filed under: uncultured organism
Description: bacterial SSU rRNA
Rfam family: Bacterial small subunit ribosomal RNA
Source: RNAcentral
AGAGUUUGAUCCUGGCUCAGGAUGAACGCUAGCGGCAGGCUUAACACAUGCAAGUCGAGGGGUAACGACUCCGUCUUCGGAUGGAGGUCGACGACCGGCGCACGGGUGAGUAACGCGUAUGCAACCUACCUUUUACAGGAGGAUAGCCCAGAGAAAUUUGGAUUAAUACUCCAUAGUACUAAUGAAUCACCUGGUUUAUUAGUUAAAACUCCGGUGGUAAAAGAUGGGCAUGCGUGUCAUUAGCUAGUUGGUAAGGUAACGGCUUACCAAGGCGAAGAUGACUAGGGGUUCUGAGAGGAAGAUCCCCCACACUGGUACUGAGACACGGACCAGACUCCUACGGGAGGCAGCAGUGAGGAAUAUUGGUCAAUGGGUGAGAGCCUGAACCAGCCAUGCCGCGUGAAGGAAGACUGCCCUAUGGGUUGUAAACUUCUUUUCUGCAGGAAGAAAUCACUCUACGUGUAGGGUGUUGCCGGUACUGCAGGAAUAAGCAUCGGCUAACUCCGUGCCAGCAGCCGCGGUAAUACGGAGGAUGCAAGCGUUAUCCGGAUUUAUUGGGUUUAAAGGGUGCGUAGGCGGGCUUGUAAGUCAGUGGUGAAAUGCUGUGGCUUAACCAUAGAAUUGCCAUUGAAACUGCAAGUCUUGAGUACAGUUGAGGUGGGCGGAAUGAGUAAUGUAGCGGUGAAAUGCAUAGAUAUUACUCAGAACUCCGAUUGCGUAGGCAGCUUACUAAACUAUAGCUGACGCUGAAGCACGAAAGCGUGGGUAUCAAACAGGAUUAGAUACCCUGGUAGUCCACGCCGUAAACUAUGAUUACUGGUUGUUUGCGAUACACAGUAAGCGACUGAGCGAAAGCAUUAAGUAAUCCACCUGGGGAGUACGUUGGCAACAAUGAAACUCAAAGGAAUUGACGGGGGCCCGCACAAGCGGUGGAACAUGUGGUUUAAUUCGAUGAUACGCGAGGAACCUUACCUGGGCUUAAAUGGGGAGUGACAGGGGUAGAAAUACCCUUUUCUUCGGACACUCUUCAAGGUGCUGCAUGGUUGUCGUCAGCUCGUGCCGUGAGGUGUCGGGUUAAGUCCCAUAACGAGCGCAACCCCUGUUGUCAGUUACCAGCACGUAAAGGUGGGGACUCUGGCAAGACUGCCGGUGUAAACCGCGAGGAAGGUGGGGAUGACGUCAAAUCAGCACGGCCCUUACGUCCAGGGCUACACACGUGUUACAAUGGCCAGUACAAAGGGCAGCUACACAGCAAUGUGAUGCUAAUCUCGAAAACUGGUCCCAGUUCGGAUUGGAGUCUGCAACCCGACUUCAUGAAGCUGGAAUCGCUAGUAAUCGCGCAUCAGCCAUGGCGCGGUGAAUACGUUCCCGGGCCUUGUACACACCGCCCGUCAAGCCAUGGAAGCCGGGAGUACCUGAAGUAUGUAACCGCAAGGAGCGUCCUAGGGUAAAACUGGUGACUGGGGCUAAGUCGUAACAAGGUAACC